This 426-nucleotide long non-coding RNA is filed under the name Olea europaea (common olive). RNAcentral's name for it is "long non-coding RNA (OEUR_LNC005766)". Lineage: Eukaryota; Viridiplantae; Streptophyta; Magnoliopsida; Lamiales; Oleaceae. The record is from RNAcentral.
AAGUGCGUUGAAAAACUGAAUUAAAGACCUACAAUUCUUCUUGCAAAUCAAAUUUUCCAAUUCAAACGUUUUCCACCCUAAAAAGGGGUCUCAAAUUGAGGUUGAAAAUUCGGAGCACAAUUUUUUCGGCUGGAAAUUGAUUUGUCAAAAUGCUUCAACUUUAUUUCAUUCCUUUGACCUUCAAUAGCAUCCAAUUGAUAUCAUAUGAUCUUCGAUCGUUGUUUUAUGGUCCAAAUUAACUAGUGGAUGUUUACACUUUGGUCCCCAAACUUUCGAAUUCCUUUGUGUACACUAUUUUCUCUUGUAAUUUUGUUCAUUUAUCUUCCAAUUGUAUCCAAUUAAAUCCUUGACAUCCUCGAUCUUUAUUUUGUCGCCUUCUCAUCUAUGGAUUGUUUGUAAUUUAGUUCCCGAAUUUUGGAUUUUGCC